ACUCCUACGGGAGGCAGCAGUGGGGAAUAUUGCACAAUGGGGGAAACCCUGAUGCAGCCAUGCCGCGUGUGUGAAGAAGGCCUUCGGGUUGUAAAGCACUUUCAGUAGGGAGGAAGGUAGUGUAGUUAACACCUGCAUUAUUUGACGUUACCUACAGAAGAAGCACCGGCUAAACUCCGUGCCAGCAGCCGCGGUAAUACGGAGGGUGCGAGCGUUAAUCGGAAUUACUGGGCGUAAAGCGCAUGCAGGCGGCCUGUUAAGUCAGAUGUGAAAGCCCGGGGCUUAACCUCGGAAUUGCAUUUGAAACUGGCAGGCUAGAGUCUUGUAGAGGGGGGUAGAAUUUCAGGUGUAGCGGUGAAAUGCGUAGAGAUCUGAAGGAAUACCAGUGGCGAAGGCGGCCCCCUGGACAAAAGACUGACGCUCAGAUGCGAAAGCGUGGGGAGCAAACAGGAUUAGAUACCCUGGUAGGAUAGCG
Molecule: ribosomal RNA, 475 nt
Filed under: uncultured bacterium
Lineage: Bacteria
Description: bacterial SSU rRNA
Rfam family: Bacterial small subunit ribosomal RNA
Source: RNAcentral